CAUUAGAUGGCUGAAGGCAAGCACUGGUCUCUUAAACCAUCUCAUAGUAAUGUUGCGAUUACUUCUGAUG
RNAcentral lists this transfer RNA (70 nucleotides) under Coraebus cloueti. RNAcentral's name for it is "tRNA-Lys". Lineage: Eukaryota; Metazoa; Arthropoda; Insecta; Coleoptera; Buprestidae. The record is from RNAcentral.